AUCUUCCAGGUUUCUUACCCAUCAGAUCUGAAUACUGAUCUGAGUGGUUAUAAAAGGAUGGAAAGUAAAAUUGAAGUUGACAUUAGCUUCAUUCUUUUGUGACACAAAAGCUAGUUUCACACAAAC
This is a small nucleolar RNA of Echinops telfairi (small Madagascar hedgehog), 126 nucleotides long. Lineage: Eukaryota; Metazoa; Chordata; Mammalia; Afrosoricida; Tenrecidae. The record is from Ensembl.